UACGUAGGGGGCUAGCGUUGUCCGGAAUUAUUGGGCGUAAAGAGCUCGUAGGCGGUCUGUUGCGUCGGCUGUGAAAACCCGAGGCUCAACCUCGGGCCUGCAGCCGAUACGGGCAGACUAGAGUUCGGCAGGGGAGACUGGAAUUCCUGGUGUAGCGGUGAAAUGCGCAGAUAUCAGGAGGAACACCGGUGGCGAAGGCGGGUCUCUGGGCCGAUACUGACGCUGAGGAGCGAAAGCGUGGGGAGCGAACAGG
RNAcentral lists this ribosomal RNA (253 nucleotides) under uncultured bacterium. Its description in RNAcentral is "partial 16S ribosomal RNA". It matches the Rfam family "Bacterial small subunit ribosomal RNA", at positions 524 to 776 of the family's 1533-position model. The record is from RNAcentral.